CCCUUAGAUGUUCUGGGCCGCACGCGCGCUACACUGACGAAGUCAGCGAGCAUGUCCUACGCCGACAGGUGCGGGGAAUCUUGUCAAACUUCGUCGUGAUGGGGAUUGAUUUUUGAAAUUCUUGGUCAUAAACGAGGAAUUCCUAGUAAGCGCAAGUCAGCAGCUUGCGUUGAUUACGUCCCUGCCCUUUGUACACACCGCCCGUCGCUACUACCGAUUGAAUGGUUUAGUGAGAUCUUCGGAUUGGCGCCACUGCAGCUCAGCAAUGGGCUUGGUGGAUGCCGAAAAGUUGAUCAAACUUGAUCAUUUAGAGGAAGUAAAAGUCGUAACA
This 331-nucleotide ribosomal RNA is filed under the name uncultured eukaryote. RNAcentral's name for it is "partial 18S ribosomal RNA". It matches the Rfam family "Eukaryotic small subunit ribosomal RNA", at positions 1470 to 1796 of the family's 1831-position model. The record is from RNAcentral.